This 531-nucleotide long non-coding RNA is filed under the name Equus asinus (donkey). RNAcentral's name for it is "lncRNA (ENSEASG00005030933.1)". The record is from RNAcentral. Lineage: Eukaryota; Metazoa; Chordata; Mammalia; Perissodactyla; Equidae.
AGAAGUCCAAGGAUCUUAGGCUGCAAACUGCCGUAUAUGUCCCUGGCUCUGCACACAAAAAAUAAGUAUACAGACCUUGAAAGUACAAAAGUGAGCAACAUGUGGAUCUACAUAAACAAAGAAAAAAAUACUACCUGACUUGUAAAACUCAAGAACUUCUAAAUGCAUCAACCUGGCCAGUUUAACUCCCUUCCCAGUCAGUGCCGUUGACACAGUCCAGUCUCGUCAAGAACAACAAGACUGGCACUCCUCGUGUGCCCUGGGGCCCAGGCUUGGUUUGAAGCUGGGAACCCUGGCCUGGGCCUCCCAGGGUUUCAGAGGUAAUGGUGACAUGGCCAGUGUUCUGCUUCUGCACCCAUCUGAAUUCCAGGUUCUUUGUAUCAUCUGAAUUCAUUAUCCACAAUCAACAUUAUAAACCAAUCAAGCUAGCAACAAAGUCUAAAAUAUAGCAGUGAGAAACUAAGAAAUCUACGCCUGGACCAAUAUAUUAGGACCAAAAGUUUCUAAAUAAAGUAGACCUGAUUCAGGAAG